Molecule: ribosomal RNA, 482 nt
Filed under: uncultured bacterium
Lineage: Bacteria
Description: partial 16S ribosomal RNA
Rfam family: Bacterial small subunit ribosomal RNA
Source: RNAcentral
AUUGAACGCUGGCGGCAUGCCUUACACAUGCAAGUCGAACGGUAACGGGCCUUCGGGUGCCGACGAGUGGCGAACGGGUGAGUAAUACAUCGGAACGUGCCCGAUCGUGGGGGAUAACGAGGCGAAAGCUUUGCUAAUACCGCAUACGAUCUACGGAUGAAAGCAGGGGACCGCAAGGCCUUGCGCGGACGGAGCGGCCGAUGGCAGAUUAGGUAGUUGGUGGGAUAAAAGCUUACCAAGCCGACGAUCUGUAGCUGGUCUGAGAGGAUGAUCAGCCACACUGGGACUGAGACACGGCCCAGACUCCUACGGGAGGCAGCAGUGAGGAAUUUUGGACAAUGGGCGCAAGCCUGAUCCAGCCAUGCCGCGUGCAGGAUGAAGGCCUUCGGGUUGUAAACUGCUUUUGUACGGAACGAAAAGCCUUCUUUUAAUACAGGAGGGUCAUGACGGUACCGUAAGAAUAAGCACCGGCUAACUACGUG